UUCAGGUCCUGAGCUAAAGACAGUUAGAUCCUUGAUUCAGGUCCUGAGCUACAGACAGUUAGAUCCUAGAUUCAGGUCCUGAGCUACAGACAGUUAGAUCCUUGAUUCAGGUCCUGAGCUACAGACAGUUAGAUCCUAGAUUCAGGUCCUGAGCUACAAACAGUCAGAUCCUUGAUUCAGGUCCUGAGCUACAGACAGUCAGAUCCUAGAUUCAGGUCCUGAGCUACAGACAGUCAGAUCCUAGAUUCAGGUCCUGAGCUACAGACAGUUAGAUCCUAGAUUCAGGUCCUGAGCUACAGACAGUCAGAUCCUAGAUUCAGGUCCUGAGCUACAGACAGUCAGAUCCUAGAUUCAGGUCCUGAGCUACAGACAGUUAGAUCCUAGAUUCAGGUCCUGAGCUACAGACAGUCAGAUCCUUGAUUCAGGUCCUGAGCUACAGACAGUCAGAUCCUUGAUUCAGGUCCUGAGCUACAGACAGUUAGAUCCUAGAUUCAGGUCCUGAGCUACAGACAGUUAGAUCCUUGAUUCAGGUCCUGAGCUACAGACAGUCAGGUCCUGAGCUACAGACAGUUAGAUCCUUGAUUCGGGUCCUGAGCUACAGACAGUUAGAUCCUUGAUUCAUGUCCUGAGCUACAGACAGUUAGAUCCUAGAUUCAGGUCCUGAGCUACAGACAGUCAGGUCCUGAGCUACAGACAGUUAGAUCCUUGAUUCAUGUCCUGAGCUACAGACAGUUAGAUCCUUGAUUCAUGUCCUGAGCUACAGACAGUCAGAUCCUAGAUUCAGGUCCUGAGCUACAGACAGUUAGAUCCUAGAUUCAGGUCCUGAGCUACAGACAGUCAGAUCCUUGAUUCAGGUCCUGAGCUACAGACAGUCAGAUCCUUGAUUCAGGUCCUGAGCUACAGACAGUUAGAUCCUAGAUUCAGGUCCUGAGCUACAGACAGUUAGAUCCUUGAUUCAGGUCCUGAGCUACAGACAGUCAGGUCCUGAGCUACAGACAGUUAGAUCCUUGAUUCGGGUCCUGAGCUACAGACAGUUAGAUCCUUGAUUCAUGUCCUGAGCUACAGACAGUUAGAUCCUAGAUUCAGGUCCUGAGCUACAGACAGUCAGGUCCUGAGCUACAGACAGUUAGAUCCUUGAUUCAUGUCCUGAGCUACAGACAGUUAGAUCCUUGAUUCAUGUCCUGAGCUACAGACAGUCAGAUCCUAGAUUCAGGUCCUGAGCUACAGACAGUUAGAUCCUAGAUUCAGGUCCUGAGCUACAGACAGUUAGAUCCUAGAUUCAGGUCCUGAGCUACAGACAGUUAGAUCCUUGAUUCAUGUCCUGAGCUACAGACAGUUAGAUCCUAGAUUCAGGUCCUGAGCUACAGACAGUUAGAUCCUUGAUUCAGGUCCUGAGCUACAGACAGUCAGAUCCUUGAUUCAGGUCCUGAGCUACAGACAGUCAGGUCCUGAGCUACAGACAGUCAGAUCCUUGAUUCAGGUCCUGAGCUACAGACAGUUAGAUCCUUGAUUCAUGUCCUGAGCUACAGACAGUUAGAUCCUUGAUUCAGGUCCUGAGCUACAGACAGUCAGAUCCUUGAUUCAGGUCCUGAGCUACAGACAGUCAGAUCCUUGAUUCAGGUCCUGAGCUACAGACAGUUAGAUCCUAGAUUCAGGUCCUGAGCUACAGACAGUCAGAUCCUUGAUUCAGGUCCUGAGCUACAGACAGUCAGAUCCUUGAUUCAGGUCCUGAGCUACAGACAGUUAGAUCCUAGAUUCAGGUCCUGAGCUACAGACAGUUAGAUCCUUGAUUCAGGUCCUGAGCUACAGACAGUCAGGUCCUGAGCUACAGACAGUUAGAUCCUUGAUUCGGGUCCUGAGCUACAGACAGUUAGAUCCUUGAUUCAUGUCCUGAGCUACAGACAGUUAGAUCCUAGAUUCAGGUCCUGAGCUACAGACAGUCAGGUCCUGAGCUACAGACAGUUAGAUCCUUGAUUCAUGUCCUGAGCUACAGACAGUUAGAUCCUUGAUUCAUGUCCUGAGCUACAGACAGUCAGAUCCUAGAUUCAGGUCCUGAGCUACAGACAGUUAGAUCCUAGAUUCAGGUCCUGAGCUACAGACAGUUAGAUCCUAGAUUCAGGUCCUGAGCUACAGACAGUUAGAUCCUUGAUUCAGGUCCUGAGCUACAGACAGUCAGGUCCUGAGCUACAGACAGGUAGAUCCUUGAUUCAUGUCCUGAGCUACAGACAGUUAGAUCCUUGAUUCAUGUCCUGAGCUACAGACAGUUAGAUCCUUGAUUCAGGUCCUGAGCUACAGACAGUCAGAUCCUUGAUUCAGGUCCUGAGCUACAGACAGUCAGAUCCUUGAUUCAGGUCCUGAGCUACAGACAGUCAGAUCCUUGAUUCAGGUCCUGAGCUACAGACAGUCAGAUCCUUGAUUCAU
Oncorhynchus keta (chum salmon) is the source of this 2421-nucleotide long non-coding RNA. RefSeq lists it as uncharacterized. The record is from RefSeq and is a predicted model, not a curated record. NCBI's taxonomy places the organism in Eukaryota, Metazoa, Chordata, Actinopteri, Salmoniformes, Salmonidae. The transcript is spliced from 4 exons.